RNAcentral lists this small nuclear RNA (193 nucleotides) under Cicer arietinum (chickpea). Its description in RNAcentral is "U2 spliceosomal RNA". It matches the Rfam family "U2 spliceosomal RNA". Rfam says of the family: U2 is a small nuclear RNA (snRNA) component of the spliceosome (involved in pre-mRNA splicing). Lineage: Eukaryota; Viridiplantae; Streptophyta; Magnoliopsida; Fabales; Fabaceae. The record is from Rfam by way of RNAcentral.
AUACCUUUCUCGGCCUUUUGGCUAAGAUCAAGUGUAGUAUCUGUUCUUAUCAGUUUAAUAUCUGAUAUGUGGGUCAUUGACUCACACGAUAUUAAAUUUAUUUCUUGAAGGGGAGUCUUAACAAUAGCUUGCUAUUGGAUCUCUCAUGUGUCGCCUUUGCGUUGCACUAUUGCAUUGGUUUGGCGCACCCUAC